Molecule: long non-coding RNA, 336 nt
Organism: Hipposideros armiger (great roundleaf bat)
Lineage: Eukaryota; Metazoa; Chordata; Mammalia; Chiroptera; Hipposideridae
Exons: 2
Source: RefSeq, a predicted model, not a curated record
GCUGCCCUGACCGAGUACCUUCCCUUUGUGGCAGAUUUUGAGAGUUUCGACCUACCAGAAGAGCACCAGAUCGCACAGCUCCCCAUGAAUGGCGUGCCUCUCAUGCUGCUUGACGAGGAGAGGGAAUUUGAAAAGCUGUUACACGUGGGCCCCCCUUCGCCUCUGAAGAUGCCCUUUCCACCGUGGGGGUCCAAUCCGUUGCUGUCUCCCUCAAGCAUUCUGUCGACUCUGGAUGUUGAAUUGCCACCCGUUUGUUAUGACUUAGAUGUUUAAGUUUCUUAGUGCUUUACAGCUUGUGUGUAUGUAUUAAUAAAGCAACUCUUAACAGACUCUAAA